This 229-nucleotide unclassified non-coding RNA is filed under the name plant metagenome. RNAcentral describes it as "partial contains small subunit ribosomal RNA, internal transcribed spacer 1, and 5.8S ribosomal RNA". The record is from RNAcentral.
UCUCCGUAGGUGAACCUGCGGAGGGAUCAUUACAGAGUUCAUGCCCUUCCGGGUAGAUCUCCCACCCUAUGUUAUUAUUACUUUGUUGCUUUGGCGGGCCGUUAGGCUCCGGCCCGACUACCGGCCCCGGCUGGUAAGCGCCCGCCAGAGGACCCAAAACCCUGAAUAUUAGUGUCGUCUGAGUACUAUAUAAUAGUUAAAACUUUCAACAACGGAUCUCUUGGUUCUG